AUGACCUGCUCAUGAGAAAUCACGAAAAUCGACCCACUGGGUCUACACCACUGCCUGAAGCAGAUAAGGUGUAUUCUCAUUAUGCCAAUCAUGAAAUGGGCCAUGGAUCUAAUCAUGGUCGUGGUCGUAAUCGGGGUCAUAGCCGUAAACGUAGACAAGAAAGAAAUUUCCAUGAUGUCCGUCACCCCCCAAGGAGAGAUAACCGCUGAAAGCAGAAACG
RNAcentral lists this long non-coding RNA (220 nucleotides) under Nicotiana benthamiana. Its description in RNAcentral is "long non-coding RNA (NBEN_LNC029677)". Lineage: Eukaryota; Viridiplantae; Streptophyta; Magnoliopsida; Solanales; Solanaceae. The record is from RNAcentral.